AGGUAGUGACAAGAAAUAACAAUACAAGGCAGUUAAAAUGCUUUGUAAUUGGAAUGAUAGAAAUUUAAACACUUUUUAAAGUAUCAAUUGGAGGGCAAGUCUGGUGCCAGCAGCCGCGGUAAUUCCAGCUCCAAUAGCGUAUAUUAAAAUUGUUGCAGUUAAAAAGCUCGUAGUUGAAUUUCUGUUAAAAAUAACCGGUCUGCUUUUAAUAAAAGUGGUAUCUUGGUGUGUUUUUAGCAAUAAUGUCCUUUGAAAUGUUUUUUACUUUAUUGUAAUAAAUAAUAUUCAGGAUUUUUACUUUGAGAAAAUUAGAGUGUUUCUAGCAGGCUAACGCUUUGAAUACUGCAGCAUGGAAUAAUAAAAUAGGAUUUUAGUUCUACAUUAUUGGUUUUAAGAACUAAAUUAAUGAUUGAUAGGGACAGUUGGGGGCAUUUGUAUUUAACUGUCAGAGGUGAAAUUCUUAGAUUUGUUAAAGACAAACUACUGCGAAAGCAUUUGCCAAAGAUGUUUUCAUUAAUCAAGAACGAAAGUUAGGGGAUCGAAGACGAUCAGAUACCGUCGUAGUCUUAACUAUAAACUAUGCC
Molecule: ribosomal RNA, 584 nt
Filed under: Hepatozoon felis
Lineage: Eukaryota; Apicomplexa; Hepatozoidae
Description: bacterial SSU rRNA
Rfam family: Eukaryotic small subunit ribosomal RNA
Source: RNAcentral